GACGAACGCUGGCGGCGUGCUUAACACAUGCAAGUCGAACGGAAAGGCCCUGCUUUUGUGGGGUGCUCGAGUGGCGAACGGGUGAGUAACACGUGAGUAACCUGCCCUUGACUUUGGGAUAACUUCAGGAAACUGGGGCUAAUACCGGAUAGGAGCUCCUGCUGCAUGGUGGGGGUUGGAAAGUUUCGGCGGUUGGGGAUGGACUCGCGGCUUAUCAGCUUGUUGGUGGGGUAGUGGCUUACCAAGGCUUUGACGGGUAGCCGGCCUGGGAGGGUGACCGGCCACAAUGGGACUGAGAUACGGCGCAGACUGCUACGUGAGGCAGCAGUGGGGAAUAUUGCACAAUGGGCGGAAGCCUGAUGCAGCAACGCCGCGUGCGGGAUGACGGCCUUCGGGUUGUAAACCGCUUUCGCCUGUGACGAAGCGUGAGUGACGGUAAUGGGUAAAGAAGCACCGGCUAACUACGUG
This 468-nucleotide ribosomal RNA is filed under the name uncultured bacterium. RNAcentral's name for it is "partial 16S ribosomal RNA". It matches the Rfam family "Bacterial small subunit ribosomal RNA", at positions 28 to 507 of the family's 1533-position model. The record is from RNAcentral.